Molecule: ribosomal RNA, 1375 nt
Filed under: Bacillus pumilus
Lineage: Bacteria; Bacillati; Bacillota; Bacilli; Caryophanales; Bacillaceae
Also listed under: 2 other names
Description: partial 23S ribosomal RNA
Rfam family: Bacterial large subunit ribosomal RNA
Source: RNAcentral
AAGGCUGAGCUGUGAUGGCGAGCGAAAUUUAGUAGCGAAGUUCCUGAUUCCACACUGCCAAGAAAAGCCUCUAGCGAGGUGAGAGGUGCCCGUACCGCAAACCGACACAGGUAGGCGAGGAGAGAAUCCUAAGGUGAUCGAGAGAACUCUCGUUAAGGAACUCGGCAAAAUGACCCCGUAACUUCGGGAGAAGGGGUGCUUCUUAGGGUGUUAAAGCCCCGAGAAGCCGCAGUGAAUAGGCCCAGGCGACUGUUUAGCAAAAACACAGGUCUCUGCGAAGCCGUAAGGCGAAGUAUAGGGGCUGACGCCUGCCCGGUGCUGGAAGGUUAAGAGGAGCGCUUAGCGUAAGCGAAGGUGCGAAUUGAAGCCCCAGUAAACGGCGGCCGUAACUAUAACGGUCCUAAGGUAGCGAAAUUCCUUGUCGGGUAAGUUCCGACCCGCACGAAAGGCGCAACGAUCUGGGCACUGUCUCAACGAGAGACUCGGUGAAAUUAUAGUACCUGUGAAGAUGCAGGUUACCCGCGACAGGACGGAAAGACCCCGUGGAGCUUUACUGCAGCCUGAUAUUGAAUGUUGGUACAGCUUGUACAGGAUAGGUAGGAGCCUUGGAAACCGGAGCGCUAGCUUCGGUGGAGGCAUCGGUGGGAUACUACCCUGGCUGUAUUGACCUUCUAACCCGCUGCCCUUAUCGGGCAGGGAGACAGUGUCAGGUGGGCAGUUUGACUGGGGCGGUCGCCUCCUAAAAUGUAACGGAGGCGCCCAAAGGUUCCCUCAGAAUGGUUGGAAAUCAUUCGCAGAGUGUAAAGGCACAAGGGAGCUUGACUGCGAGACCUACAAGUCGAGCAGGGACGAAAGUCGGGCUUAGUGAUCCGGUGGUUCCGCAUGGAAGGGCCAUCGCUCAACGGAUAAAAGCUACCCCGGGGAUAACAGGCUUAUCUCCCCCAAGAGUCCACAUCGACGGGGAGGUUUGGCACCUCGAUGUCGGCUCAUCGCAUCCUGGGGCUGUAGUCGGUCCCAAGGGUUGGGCUGUUCGCCCAUUAAAGCGGUACGCGAGCUGGGUUCAGAACGUCGUGAGACAGUUCGGUCCCUAUCCGUCGCGGGCGCAGGAAAUUUGAGAGGAGCUGUCCUUAGUACGAGAGGACCGGGAUGGACGCACCGCUGGUGUACCAGUUGUUCUGCCAAGGGCAUCGCUGGGUAGCUAUGUGCGGACGGGAUAAGUGCUGAAAGCAUCUAAGCAUGAAGCCCCCCUCAAGAUGAGAUUUCCCAUUCCGCAAGGAAGUAAGAUCCCUGAAAGAUGAUCAGGUUGAUAGGUCUGAGGUGGAAGCGUGGUGACACGUGGAGCUGACAGAUACUAAUAGAUCGAGGACUUAACCUA